This 30-nucleotide non-coding RNA is filed under the name Mus musculus (house mouse). Lineage: Eukaryota; Metazoa; Chordata; Mammalia; Rodentia; Muridae. The record is from RNAcentral.
UAGUAACAAUAAACAUCAGAGCCUGAGUCC